Molecule: ribosomal RNA, 484 nt
Filed under: uncultured bacterium
Lineage: Bacteria
Description: bacterial SSU rRNA
Rfam family: Bacterial small subunit ribosomal RNA
Source: RNAcentral
AUUGAACGCUAGCGGGAUGCCUUACACAUGCAAGUCGGAACGGCAGCGCGGACUUCGGUCUGGCGGCGAGUGGCGAACGGGUGAGUAAUGUAUCGGAACGUGCCCAGUAGCGGGGGAUAACUACUCGAAAGAGUAGCUAAUACCGCAUACGCCCUACGGGGAAAGGGGGGGAUCGCAAGACCUCUCACUAUUGGAGCGGCCGAUAUCGGAUUAGCUAGUUGGUGAGGUAAAGGCUCACCAAGGCGACGAUCCGUAGCUGGUUUGAGAGGACGACCAGCCACACUGGGACUGAGACACGGCCCAGACUCCUACGGGAGGCAGCAGUGGGGAAUUUUGGACAAUGGGGGAAACCCUGAUCCAGCCAUUCCGCGUGUGCGAUGAAGGCCUUCGGGUUGUAAAGCACUUUUGGCAGGAAAGAAAUCGCAUCAAUUAAUACUUGGUGUGGAUGACGGUACCUGCAGAAUAAGCACCGGCUAACUACGUG